RNAcentral lists this non-coding RNA (843 nucleotides) under Charybdis feriata. Lineage: Eukaryota; Metazoa; Arthropoda; Malacostraca; Decapoda; Portunidae. The record is from RNAcentral.
AUAAAGUUUGAUUAUUUCUUUAUUUCUUGUGAUUAAUAUUGAAGUUGUAUGAAAGUUAAAGCGAGGAGCUAAUAAAAAUUUAAGAUUAUUAUUAUCAUUUAGAAUAUAGUUAUACUAUAAGCAGAUAAUCUCAGCAUAUAAUGUUAGACAAUUUAAUAAUUUAAGAUCUAGCAAUAGGUUAAAGCUUGAUCAAUAUUGUGCCAGCAGUCGCGGUUAUACUUUAAAGUUAAAUAAGAAAUAUUGGGCUAUUGUUAAGCGAGAAUUAAGUCUUUUAAUUGUCAAAAAUCUGGAAGAAUAAAAAAGUGAAAUUGGAUUUUCUUUUUAUAGAAUUAUGAGCAAUGAUCAAUAAAAGCUGAAGCAAUAAAAUGCUGGAUUUAAACUAGGAUUAGAUACCCUACUAUACCAGAGAGUAAUUAAUAAAAGCCUAAGUAGUAAUAGUUAUGUCCUAAAAAUUUGAAGAAUUUGGCGGUGAUUUAGUCUAGUCAGAGGAACCUGUUUUUGAAUCGAUAAACCACGAAUAAUCUUGCUCAAUUUUGUAAAGUAUGUAUACCAUCAUUAUUAGGUAAUUUUUAUAGAAUAAAUUACUGAAUUUGCUAAUAAUGUUAAAUAUAUUAGAUCAAGGUGCAGCUUAUAGUUGAGUUAAAAUGGGUUACAAUAAGUUUUAUUUAUCACGGAGAUAUAGUUUAAACACUAGUUAUGAAGGAGGAUUUGAUUGUAAGAUAAGUUUAACACGCUUGUUAGAUAUAAGCUCUAAAUCAUGUACAUAUCGCCCGUCGCUUUCAUUUUAAGAUGAGAUAAGUCGUAACAAAGUAGACUUACUGGAAAGUGAGUCUGGAUAGGAUA